UGAGUAUGAUUCAAUAUGGACCAGGAAAUUGACCCUUACAACCAACAUUUUAGGUACUCAAGGAGAAAGCUUUGAUUGAAUGUGAUGUGAUGCUUGAAGCGCGUACGAACAGGGGAAAAAUUGGGUUUUGUAAAUUGAGAAUUUUAUGUAAAUAGUUCUUUGUUGUAUUUUCUUCCGCUGAAAAUUUUAAACUAUUACUCAUUUUAAUUAAGUUUAUAUUUUAAGUGAAUUACAAUUCAGAUUUUAUU
This 248-nucleotide long non-coding RNA is filed under the name Trifolium pratense (red clover). Its description in RNAcentral is "long non-coding RNA (TPRA_LNC013356)". Lineage: Eukaryota; Viridiplantae; Streptophyta; Magnoliopsida; Fabales; Fabaceae. The record is from RNAcentral.